This 373-nucleotide ribosomal RNA is filed under the name uncultured organism. Its description in RNAcentral is "partial 16S ribosomal RNA". It matches the Rfam family "Bacterial small subunit ribosomal RNA", at positions 527 to 896 of the family's 1533-position model. The record is from RNAcentral.
GUAGGUGGCAAGCGUUGUCCGGAAUUAUUGGGCGUAAGGCGCGCGCAGGCGGUUCUUUAAGUCUGAUGUGAAAGCCCACGGGCUCAACCGUGGAGGGUCAUUGGAAACUGGAGAACUUGAGUACAGAAGAGGAAAGCGGAAUUCCACGUGUAGCGGUGAAAUGCGUAGAGAUGUGGAGGAACACCAGCGGCGAAGGCGGCUUUCUGGUCUGUAACUGACGCUGAGGCGCGAAAGCGUGGGGAGCAAACAGGAUUAGGUACCCUGGUAGUCCACGCCGUAAACGAUGAGUGCUAAGUGUUAGGGGGUUUCCGCCCCUUAGUGCUGCAGCUAACGCAUUAAGCACUCCGCCUGGGGAGUACGGCCGCAAAGGCUG